This 440-nucleotide ribosomal RNA is filed under the name uncultured bacterium. RNAcentral describes it as "partial 16S ribosomal RNA". It matches the Rfam family "Bacterial small subunit ribosomal RNA", at positions 338 to 795 of the family's 1533-position model. The record is from RNAcentral.
CCUACGGGUGGCAGCAGUGGGGGAUAUUGCACAAUGGGGGGAACCCUGAUGCAGCGACGCCGCGUGGGUGAAGAAGCGCCUCGGCGCGUAAAGCCCUGUCAGCAGGGAAGAAAAUGACGGUACCUGAAGAAGAAGCCCCGGCUAACUACGUGCCAGCAGCCGCGGUAAUACGUAGGGGGCAAGCGUUAUCCGGAUUUACUGGGUGUAAAGGGGGCGCAGACGGCGAUGCAAGCCAGGAGUGAAAGCCCGGGGCCCAACCCCGGGACUGUUCGUGGAACUGCGUGGCUGGAGUGCAGGAGGGGGAGGGGGAAGUCGUGGUGUAGGGGUGAAAUGCGUAGAUAGCAGGGGGAACACGGGGGGCGAGGGCGGCCUGCUGGACUGCAACUGACGUUGAGGCCCGAAAGCGUGGGGAGCAAACAGGAUUAGAUACCCAAGUAGUC